AUAAUCACCAUACAUUUAUUUUUUGUGCUUUUCUUGAAUAGCUCUAAGGGGCCAAGUACAGGAUACCUCAUUUUAUUGAGCUUCACAGACGUUGCGUUUUGUUACAAAUUGAUAUUUGGCAACCCUGCAUCGAGCAAGUCGGUCAGCACUAUUUUUCCAGCUGCAUUUGCUCACUUCACGUGUCCGUGUCGUAUUUUGAUCAUUCUAGCAAUGUUUCAAACCGUCCACCAGCAAAAGGAUUACUACAUGCUGAAGGCUCAGGAACCCCAAUUCUACCAAGCUUUCCAUCUGGAGUGGAGAUCUUUGGAAGAAGCAAGGUGAUGGGUCCUGUGCACUCUCAUCUGAGCUUCGUGGGAUGGAGGAAUCAUCGGAGGAGCCCAGAGAAGACUUGGGCUGAUGCUUCACAAAGUGAGAAUGGUGAUUGAGUUUACGAGCCCGCUGAAGAUCUGGAAACCGUGAAUUAUGAGGUCAUUUUGGAGAAGCUGGGGAUGAUUUAUGCCGAGGAGAGAAGGCUCAGCUUUUGCAUGCAUCGCAAACACCAUCUGUUAUAACCCGAGACACACACGCUGCAUGGAAUUAGGAAUAGAAGCCAGUGUUGCAGCUGGACAUGGCAGAGGAAAUUGAUAGAACCACCACUUCCUCUGCAGGACUGACAUGGUGAAUGGGGCAUCUGGGGUUUGUCUGAGCUUUUGCAUUCAUCAAUUAAAGAUCUCUUUUGGCUGCUGCAGAGACAUUGCCUAUUUGAUUCCAAAACUUGCCUUGAAGAAAACAAGUAGCUGCUUCUUAGUGCAGGAGGAAGUCUAACCUGGGGGCUAUUUCAAGAGGCCUGAGAAUUCCUUGGUCAAGAAGACUAGGUCUAGAUGCAGGAGGCAUGGCUCUCUGUCUCCACCAUCAAAUUUCUCCAGAGGGGCCCCGUGGGGCCACUGAGCUGGCAGACUCGUCCUCUCCCCAGCUGGUCAUAAGAAGCUCUUGGCCUCUCUAUUGCAAUCUCACCUUUUGUGCACAUGAUCAUUGCAGCAUCCCAAGAAGCAGGGAAGACUCUACUGUCUACUGCUAUUCAGGAGAAAACAGAGGCUCAGGGAUGAGGUGAGCCUGAAUUCUAAAUUGGGCAAGAUGGUUCUUCGGGACCUGAGUCCACCAUCUUCUCAGUCUGCCGGCUUUCUGAAUAAAGUCGCUAUUCCUUGCCCCAGCAACUCGUCUCUCGAUUUAUUGGCCUGUCGUGUGGCAAGCAGUAGGAGCUUGGACUUGGUAACGGCGUCUGUGUGGACUUCGUCUGCUUUACAGCAUGCUCCUCAGGAUGCUCUCCAUAAGCCAACACUGAAGAGGCUGGUGCAGCAGAGCAAGAAUAAAGGGAAGAUGUGCAGGACAGCAGUAAAGAGCCUAAAACCUGGGCUCCAGUCGCUGCUGUGCCCCUUAUGAUAGAGGGGAGGGAGUAAAGUCAAACAUUGCCUCGUUCUGGUCAGCCUCGAGAGGAUAUAUGUGUUAAUUUCUUCCUUCCUGCAGUCAUUCACAGGUGGGCCUGCUCAGGAAGUUUCCUGUGAACUAAAAAAAGGUAUUUUAUUUUAUUUAUUUAUUUUUAACAUCUUUAUUGGACCAUAAUUGCUUUACAUUGUUGUGUUAGUUUCUGCUUUAUAACAAAGUGAAUCAGCUGUACAUAUACAUAUAUCCCCAAAUCUCUUCCCUCUUGCAUCUCCCUCCCACCCUCCCUAUCCCACCCCUCUAGGUGGUCACAAAGCACCAAGCUGAUCUCCCUGUGCUAUGCGGCUCCUUCCCACUAGCUAGCUAUUUUACGUUUGGUAGUGUAUAUAUGUCCAUGCCACUCUCUCACUUUGCCCCGGCUUACCCCUCCCCCUCCCCAUGACCUCAAGUCCAUUCUCUACGUCUGCGUCUUUAUUCCCGUCCUGACCCUAGGUUCUUCAGAACCACUUUUUUUUUUAGAUUCCAUAUAUAUGUGUUAACAUACGGUAUUUAUUUUUCUCUUUCUGACUUACUUCACUAUGUAUGACAGUCUCUAAGUCCAUCCACCUCACUACAAAUAACUCAAAUUCGUUUCUUUUUAUGGCUGAGUAAUAUUCCAUUGUAUAUAUAUGCCACAUCUUCCUUACCCAUUCAUCUGUCGAUGGACACUUAGGUUGCUUCCAUAUCCUGGCUAUUGUAAAUAGAGCUGCAAUGAACACUGUCGUACAUGACUUGUUUUGAAUUAUGGUUUUCUCAGGGUAUAUGCCCGGUUGUGGGAUUGCUGGGUCAUAUGGUAGUUCUACUUUUAGUUUUUUAAGGAACCUCCAUACUGUUCUCCAUAGUGGCUGUAUCAAUUAACAUUCCCACCAACAGUGCAAGAGGCUUCCCUCUUCUCCACACCCUCUCCAGCAUUUAUUGUUUGUAGAUUUUUUGAUGUUGGCCAUUCUGACUGCUGUGAGGUGAUACCUCACUGUAGUUUUGAUUUGGAUUUCACUAAUUAUUAGUGAUGUUGAGCAUCCAUUCAUGUGUUUGUUGGCAAUCUGUGUAUCUUCCUUGGAGAAAUGUCUAUUUAGGUCUUCGGCCCAUUUUUGGAUUGGGUUGUUUGUUUUUGUGAUAUUGAGCUGCAUGAGCUGCUUGUAAAUGUUGGAGAUUAAUCCUUUGUCAGUUGCUUCAUUUGCAAAUAUUUUCUCCCAUUCUGAGGGUUGUCUUUUCGUCUUGCUUAUGGUUUUCUUUGCUGUGCAAAGGCUUUUAAGUUUCUUUAGGUCCCAUUUGUUUUUGUUU
Molecule: long non-coding RNA, 2739 nt
Organism: Orcinus orca (killer whale)
Lineage: Eukaryota; Metazoa; Chordata; Mammalia; Artiodactyla; Delphinidae
Exons: 4
Source: RefSeq, a predicted model, not a curated record